This 253-nucleotide ribosomal RNA is filed under the name uncultured bacterium. Its description in RNAcentral is "partial 16S ribosomal RNA". It matches the Rfam family "Bacterial small subunit ribosomal RNA", at positions 524 to 776 of the family's 1533-position model. The record is from RNAcentral.
UACGGAGGGGGCGAGCGUUGUCCGAAGUUACUGGGCGUAAAGCGCGCGUAGGCGGGGCGGAAAGUCCGCUGUGAAAGCCCGAGGCUUAACCUCGGCGGGUCGGUGGAUACUUCCGUUCUUGAAGGUGCUAGGGGGAGAUGGAAUUCUCGGUGUAGCGGUGAAAUGCGUAGAUAUCGAGAGGAACACCUGCGGCGAAGGCGGGUUGCUGGGCUGACACUGACGCUGAUGCGCGAAAGCUAGGGGAGCGAACGGG